GCCGCCGAGUGGCCGGGCCGGCACGGCGACGACCGGGUCUGGCACGCCCCGCGGAACCUGGAGCACGGGGUCUCCUUCGACGGCGC
Molecule: transfer RNA, 86 nt
Filed under: Actinoplanes sp. L3-i22
Lineage: Bacteria; Bacillati; Actinomycetota; Actinomycetes; Micromonosporales; Micromonosporaceae
Description: tRNA-Ala
Source: RNAcentral